This 396-nucleotide ribosomal RNA is filed under the name uncultured bacterium. RNAcentral's name for it is "bacterial SSU rRNA". It matches the Rfam family "Bacterial small subunit ribosomal RNA", at positions 28 to 417 of the family's 1533-position model. The record is from RNAcentral.
GACGAACGCUGGCGGCGUGCCUAACACAUGCAAGUGGAGCGACGAACCAGGCUUCGGCCUGGGGCAGAGCCGCGAACGGGUGAGUAACACGUGGGUAACCUGCCCUGAUGAUUGGGACAACCCGAGGAAACUCGGGCUAAUACCAAAUGUGCCCUCCGACCAUAAGGUCGCUGGGGAAAGGAAGCUUCGGCCUCCGCAUCGGGAUGGGCCCGCGGCCCAUUAGCUUGUUGGUGAGGUAANGGCUCACCAAGGCAACGAUGGGUAGCUGGUCUGAGAGGACGAUCAGCCACACUGGGACUGAGACACGGCCCAGACUCCUACGGGAGGCAGCAGUGGGGAAUCUUGCGCAAUGCGCGAAAGCGUGACGCAGCAACGCCGCGUGGGGGAAGAAGGCCU